CCAAAUAUUUUAAUUUCUUUUCUAUUUCUCUCUCUAGCACAUCCUUCUCCCUUCUUUCUUCCUUCUUCAUUCUUCCUAUUCCGUCUUCCUCUUCUGUCUUCUAAUCUUCUGCGUUCUUCCUUUUUUUUCUCCUGUCUUCUACGACAUGACUUUAUGAUUCCAAAAACAAAUCUACAUUUGUUAUUAACAAUAUUGCUAACGAAACUCUAGCCGAAGGCAAAAGAACGGCUCGAAGUCUUCCUACAGAUGUCAGUUUGCUUUCGUCGCAUUUGUGACCGGCAUCCACCGUUUGGGGUCUAAAUAAUCCACAUCUGCUGAUUCAAUGGUUAUUACGGAGAGGUUGUCCAAGGAAGAAAUUGGUUGUUUAAAAGAGUAGGUUUUACACUAUGCCGGUGUUGGUUCGCAGCGGACGACGAUUAUUAUUCUGAAACAGAUUCGAUUCCAACUUUAUCUUUUUUUUUCUUCUGAUGUUGUUUAUAGUGUAGAUUUCAAAUUUGGAGUGGCAUGCCCUUUUGAUUGAUAACUCAAAUAACAGGUAAUAGUUAGUUUGGAGUAACUUUGUAAGUUUUAAUUUUAAGCUAUAUUUGAUUGAAUUCUUUAAGGGCUAAUGUGUUAGUUUAUUUUACACUUUCUUUAUUGCACACAUGGUGUUUGAUAAAAUGUCUCAGCAAAGGAGAAAAGGAGUCGGUGAACGGGCAUAUGGCAACUUAUUUCUUUGUUUCACAAGUUUUAACAAAUGCAGUAAUUUUGGUAUGUUAGUAUUACUCUUCUGUUCACUGAUGUUAUUAUUUUUCCACUAUCUUUUUGUUAUACGUCGAUUUUGCUGUUGUUCUUUGGUUUCACGGUAGUUAAAAUGAGCAUCAAGCACGUGUACGCAUCGAGGAAACAAAGGGAGGUUGUUUAUAAAGUAAGUUUUUUGGUUUUAGGUUUGUAAUUAUUCGAUGAAAGCUCCUAAAAAAACACGUUAUUUGGUACGACAGUCCCUGUUAUAAGUGGAAUAAUUUAUUUCACCUAAACUAUUUAGUAAAUAAAAUUUACCACACCGUUGAAGCAAUAUCUCUGGACUAAAAACUAGCUGAAAUAUAUUUUUUUAAACCUUUUUCCCUUUGAUUUUUAGGUGUGAAUGAAUGCAGUUAGACAAUGGUGAUAUCGUAUGCUUUCAUAAAGCUUCUGCAAUGGGUAACGGGUAACGGGAGAAAUUAAAUAUACUGAUAAAGCUUCAUUGGUUACAAGAUUGGUCAAAACUUUCUCGAUGUUUGCAUAGAUUAAAAUGUUUGAGUAUUGAGGGAAGAGGUUGCAAAUGGAGCCAUUGAAAUUCAGCGGUGCUUAUCCGUCGAGUGAGGAGUUAGAAUCUCUGGAAUUUAGAGGAGUAAGUAAUGAUUGAGGUUUUAUGAUGUUUACUAAUCAUUUAUAAUUAACAUAAAUAGUAUUAUGGUUCCAUGGUGCAGACUAAAGCUCUUCCAAAUAUUAGCAUUGUGUGAAAAGAAAAAGUGUCCAGGAGAGGUUCUCUUGAUGAAAGCAAAGAAGCUGAGAGAGAACAAGUUAUUGAAUUUGAAAUUGAUUUGACGACUGGAAUUUACUCUACUGAAGUCAUCAAUACGGUAUCUACAUAGUUCAUUCAAUCAAAGGUUGACUAGAAUUUACUUUUGCAGGUUAUAAAUAAUUUUUUUAUUGUUUACUUUUCAUCUAAUGGCAUAGUUGCUUGGCUCAGUUUAAUGUCGCUUGGCAUCAAGGUUUCGGUUUCGGUGUUGCAACUGUGGUAUUUGAGACACUACUUUUAUUCAUGACUACUAAAAGUAUUGAUAACGUGUUUCAAUAUGAGGCGGUACUAAGCUUGAAUCAUUCCUUUUGCUGUUUGUUUUUACUUCAUCUACUUCUUCUCUGGUCCCUGCGUAUUUCCGUUGUGCAGGUUGUCGUAACUGUCGGUAUUACUUUACAGGUUCUGCGUAUUAGUUCUCAAAGUUUUUGAAUUUCUAACAUGUACAAAUAAUAAUGAGUUUUUGGUCUCAUUGUUGUUGCAGUAAGAUACUGGACAUGGUGGUUUCUGUGGAGUAUACUCUGAGGGAUGAUAGUGAGAGGGUUGAUUAAAGCUGUAGCAGUCCCAGAAGAGGAGGAGAUGGUAUCACAUGUAUUGUAUUUGAAGUCAAUUUUAUGCAUUUCCUACAGUUAUGUUCCUUUCUUGAACUAAUUUAUUGUGUUAUUUAUCUACAGUCGUUCACCGGUACGAAGGUCAAGGACUUAGGUGAUGUCUGGUUUGAGAGUAAGUAGUAGGGCUUCAAUGGCACUAUACAGAAAUCUGGUGCUGAAGUCCUUUCCCUUGGAGCUGCUUCUGGAACAACUGUCUCUCAUGUGUCUGAUAUUAUUGGUCCAGUGGGUAUUAAUUAAAUAUUGUGUAUUUAACAAUUUGUGAUUAAGGAUUGAUUAGAAUAACAUUUUUUGUUUAUGUAGACUGGAGUUGUGUAUGCAGUAGAGUUCUCCCACCAAAGUGGGCUCAAUUAAAUCAUGAAACUUAUUUGUUGUACUAUCAGACAUGGGCGUGAGGAUAUAUUAUUCGGUUUCAGGAUCGAAUUCGUACAAUUAUUCCACAGUUGUCUGGUUGUUCGAAUGGUGUUUCAGACCUGCUGAUGGACAAUAUUACGUGCUCCGUUUUAGAUUUUGCACCUGUGCCAAUUCCUGAAACAUUUAGUUAUUUCCAGUGGUUGAAAUUUCAAAAACUCUUGAUAGUGAUAUCCUGGAAGAAUACUUGGGCUGAAUGAAAUUUUCUGCAUUUUAUAGGUACUGUGAGUUUGUUUCCAAUAAGUCAGCUUUUGCCAAGUAUAUAUGGAUACAAAUUUGGUUCAGGAGCUUGCAGUAUUUGGGUGGACUCGUCAAAAAUCCUGAAAGUUUAUCAAAAGCAUGACGAAGUCUUAGUUAUAGUCCGAAAACAACUCUCGGUAGCAUGAUUUCUCACUUGGUUCUUUGACUAUUGGAUUAGCGUGACAUCGACGGUUGUUAUUUAAGUGACAUCAUAGGUGAUUGGGUGAAAAUUGGUUUUCCUGCCAAAGUCAAAGUGCUGAAAGAAUAUCCAAACCAUGAUUUCAAAGAACAAUGCAGACUCUGUGAAGUAGUUAGUUAAUUAUGUUGGAGAAUAUCCAAACCAUGGAUUCAAAGAACAAUGCAAACUUUGUGAAAUGUUGUUGAUAUGUGGAUGUCGGGAUAUCUGAUGUGUUGGAUUCAAUUCGUUGAGAUCAGAAUCAAUGUCCGGUUGAAGCUUGCAUGUCAGGGUGAUUUAUCGGUGUCUUUGAAUUGAAUAUUAUUGGAACUUUGGUGAUUUGUUUAUUGAUGGUAAAAUAAUCCUUAAGCAGAACUGAAACUAAGUUCAGGGAGGACAUAUGCCACCAUAAAAUUCUAAUGAAUAGUUGAAAUUGCUCUUAGGUGGUGGAGAAAGCCAUGAAAUGUAUAUUCGUUUAAACAAAUAUUUGGUGGGAAUAUCUUUGUUUUGCAUCUGUCAUUGAAGUUACUUAUUCCAUUCUUUUGUUUAGAGUUGCACCUGUAUGGAUCUUUUGCUUGGUUGCAUGCAUUAAUAUUAUUCAUAUAAUCACA
This is a long non-coding RNA of Vicia villosa (hairy vetch), 3582 nucleotides long. RefSeq lists it as uncharacterized. NCBI's taxonomy places the organism in Eukaryota, Viridiplantae, Streptophyta, Magnoliopsida, Fabales, Fabaceae. The transcript is spliced from 6 exons. The record is from RefSeq and is a predicted model, not a curated record.